CGAACGCUGGCGGCGUGCUUAACACAUGCAAGUCGAACGAUGAAGCCUAGCUUGCUAGGUGGAUUAGUGGCGAACGGGUGAGUAAUACGUGAGUAACCUACCUUUAACUCUGGGAUAAGCCUGGGAAACUGGGUCUAAUACCGGAUACGACCAAUCUCCGCAUGGGGUGUUGGUGGAAAGCGUUAUGUAGUGGUUAUAGAUGGGCUCACGGCCUAUCAGCUUGUUGGUGAGGUAACGGCUCACCAAGGCGACGACGGGUAGCCGGCCUGAGAGGGUGACCGGCCACACUGGGACUGAGACACGGCCCAGACUCCUACGGGAGGCAGCAGUGGGGAAUAUUGCACAAUGGGCGCAAGCCUGAUGCAGCGACGCCGCGUGAGGGAUGACGGCCUUCGGGUUGUAAACCUCUGUUAGCAGGGAAGAAGAGAAAUUGACGGUACCUGCAGAGAAAGCGCCGGCUAACUACGUG
RNAcentral lists this ribosomal RNA (469 nucleotides) under uncultured bacterium. RNAcentral's name for it is "partial 16S ribosomal RNA". It matches the Rfam family "Bacterial small subunit ribosomal RNA", at positions 30 to 507 of the family's 1533-position model. The record is from RNAcentral.